GCGAAGGCGGUGUACCAGAACACGUUCGACGGUGAGGGAUGAAAGCUGGGGGAGCAAACCCGGAUUAGAUACCCGGGUAGUCCCAGCUGUAAACGAUGCAGACUCGGUGAUGCAUUGGCUUGUGGCCAAUGCAGUGCCGCAGGGAAGCCGUUAAGUCUGCCGCCUGGGAAGUACGUACGCAAGUAUGAAACUUAAAGGAAUUGGCGGGGGAGCACCACAAGGGGUGAAGCCUGCGGUUCAAUUGGAGUCAACGCCAGAAAUCUUACCCGGGGCGACAGCAGAAUGAAGGUCAAGCUGAAGACUUUACCAGACAAGCUGAGAGGCGGUGCAUGGCCGUCGCCAGCUCGUGCCGUGAGAUGUCCUGUUAAGUCAGGUAACGAGCGAGACCCCUGCGUCUAGUUGCUACCAUUCCUCUCUGGAGUAGUGGAGCGAAUUAGACGGACCGCCACAGUUAAUGUGGAGGAAGGAAGGGGCCACGGCGGGUCAGUAUGCCCCGAAACUCUGGGGCCACACGCGGGCUGCAAUGGUAGUGACAAUUGGUUCCGAAUCCGAAAGGAGGAGGUAAUCCCUAAACGCUACCACAGUUAUGACUGAGGGCUGCAACUCGCCCUCACGAAUAUGGAAUCCCUAGUAACUGCGUGUCAUUAUCGCGCGGUGAAUACGUCCCUGCUCCUUGCACACACCGCCCGUCGUUUCAUUGAAGUUUGCUUUUAGCGAGGUGACGUCUGAUUGGCGUUAUCGAACUUGAGGUAAGUGACAAGGGAAAAGUCGUAACAAGGGUAACC
Molecule: ribosomal RNA, 785 nt
Filed under: uncultured archaeon
Lineage: Archaea
Description: bacterial SSU rRNA
Rfam family: Archaeal small subunit ribosomal RNA
Source: RNAcentral